Molecule: ribosomal RNA, 254 nt
Filed under: uncultured bacterium
Lineage: Bacteria
Description: partial 16S ribosomal RNA
Rfam family: Bacterial small subunit ribosomal RNA
Source: RNAcentral
AAACCAAAGCUGGCGACCGGCGGCACGGGUGAGUAACACGUAUCCAACCUGCCUCAUACUCGGGGAUAGCCUUUCGAAAGAAAGAUUAAUAUCCGAUAGCAUAUAUUUCCCGCAUGGGUUUUAUAUUAAAGAAAUUCGGUAUGAGAUGGGGAUGCGUUCCAUUAGUUUGUUGGGGGGUAACGGCCCACCAAGACUACGAUGGAUAGGGGUUCUGAGAGGAAGGUCCCCCACAUUGGAACUGAGACACGGUCCAA